Molecule: ribosomal RNA, 301 nt
Filed under: uncultured bacterium
Lineage: Bacteria
Description: partial 16S ribosomal RNA
Rfam family: Bacterial small subunit ribosomal RNA
Source: RNAcentral
CAGUAGCCGCGGGAAUACGAAGGGUGCAAGCGUUAAUCGGAAUUAUUGGGCGUAAAGGGUGCGUAGGCGGUUUCGUAAGUCUGAUGUGAAAUCUAUGGGCUCAACCCAUAGUCUGCAUCGGAAACUGCGAGGCUUGAGAGUGGGAGAGGUGAGUGGAAUUUCCGGUGUAGCGGUGAAAUGCGUAGAUAUCGGAAGGAACACCUGUGGCGAAAGCGGCUCACUGGACCAUUUCUGACGCUGAUGCACGAAAGCUAGGGGAGCAAACAGGAUUAGAUACCCGCGUAGUCCCUGUCUCUUAACA